This 200-nucleotide unclassified non-coding RNA is filed under the name Stachybotryaceae sp. Its description in RNAcentral is "Stachybotriaceae sp. partial internal transcribed spacer 2". The record is from RNAcentral. Lineage: Eukaryota; Fungi; Ascomycota; Sordariomycetes; Hypocreales; Stachybotryaceae.
UUAAGUUCAGCGGGUAUUCCUACCUGAUCCGAGGUCAACGUUCAGAAAGUCGGGGGUUUUACGGCGUGGCCGCGCCGCGCUCCGCAUGCGAGUGUUGCUACUACGCAGGGGAGGCUGCAGCGAGACCGCCACUGUAUUUGGGGGACGGCGCCGCGCGAGGCGGGCCGAUCCCCAACACCAGCGCCGCACCGCAAGCGGUG